Molecule: ribosomal RNA, 468 nt
Filed under: uncultured bacterium
Lineage: Bacteria
Description: partial 16S ribosomal RNA
Rfam family: Bacterial small subunit ribosomal RNA
Source: RNAcentral
GACGAACGCUGGCGGCGUGCUUAACACAUGCAAGUCGAACGGAAAGGCCCUGCUUUGGUGGGGUGCUCGAGUGGCGAACGGGUGAGUAACACGUGAGUAACCUGCCCUUGACUUUGGGAUAACUUCAGGAAACUGGGGCUAAUACCGGAUAGGAGCUCCUGCUGCAUGGUGGGGGUUGGAAAGUUUCGGCGGUUGGGGAUGGACUCGCGGCUUAUCAGCUUGUGGGUGGGGUAGUGGCUGACCAAGGCUUUGACGGGUAGCCGGCCUGAGAGGGUGACCGGCCACAUUGGGACUGAGAUACGGCCCAGACUCCUACGGGAGGCAGCAGUGGGGAAUAUUGCACAAUGGGCGGAAGCCUGAUGCAGCAACGCCGCGUGCGGGAUGACGGCCUUCGGGUUGUAAACCGCUUUCGCCUGUGACGAAGCGUGAGUGACGGUAAUGGGUAAAGAAGCACCGGCUAACUACGUG